AGGGCAUACGGUGGAUGCCUAGGCGCCAGGAGCCGAAGAAGGACGCGGUAAGCUGCGAAAAGCCACGGGGAACUGCAAGCGAGUAUUGAUCCGUGGAUAUCCGAAUGGGGAAACCCGGCCAUCGUAAUGGAUGGUCAUCCGCAAGGAAGGGAACCCGGGGAACUGAAACAUCUAAGUACCCGGAGGAAAAGAAAUCAAACGAGAUGCCCACAGUAGCGGCGAGCGAAGAGGGCAGAGCCCAAACCUGUAAGCUACGGCUUAUGGGGGUUGAGGACUGACGUAAUUAAGGCCAGGCUUAGCUGAACUACCUGGGAAGGUAGGCGAUAGAAGGUAAGAGCCCUGUAAGCGAAAGGCAGAGCCUUAAGGUCAGUAUCCAGAGUACCACGGAGCACGAGGAAUUCUGUGGGAAGCAGGGGGGACCACCCUCCAAGGCUAAAGACUAACUGGCGACCGAUAGCGCAUAGUACCGUGAGGGAAAGGUGAAAAGAACCCCGGGAGGGGAGUGAAAUAGUACCUGAAACCGUAUGUCUACAAGCAGUCGGAGCGAAAGCGACGGCGUGCCUAUUGAAGAAUGAACCAACGAGUUAUCUGCACUAGCGAGGUUAAGUGGAAGACACGGAGCCGUAGCGAAAGCGAGUCUGAAAAGGGCGGCGAGUUAGUGUAGGUAGACCCGAAACCGCAGUGAUCUACCCAUGUCCAGGUUGAAGCGCAGGUAAAAAUGCGUGGAGGACCGAACCGGUGAGCGUUGAAAAGCUUUCGGAUGAGAUGUGGGUAGGGGUGAAAUUCCAAUCGAACGCGGAGAUAGCUGGUUCUCCCCGAAAUAGCUUUAGGGCUAGCCUCAGGUAGUAAGUAUAGGCGGUAGAGCACUGAUCGGGCUAGGGGCCAUAAAGGUUACCGAACCCUGUCAAACUCCGAAUGGAUAUACUGCAGAGCCUGGGAGUCAGACUACGAGUGAUAAGAUCCGUGGUCAAAAGGGAAACAGCCCAGACCACCGGCUAAGGUCCCAAAUGCCGUACUAAGUGGAAAAGGAUGUGGGGAUUCAUAAACAACCAGGAUGUUGGCUCAGAAGCAGCCACCAUUUAAAGAGUGCGUAAUAGCUCACUGGUCGAGAGUCCCUGCGCCGAAAAUUUCCGGGGCUAAAGUACGGAACCGAAGCCGUGGCUGUGUACUUAGGUGCACGGGGUAGGGGAGCGUUGCCACAGGGGUGAAGCUGGUCUGGAAGGACUGGUGGACUUGUGGGAAGUGAGAAUGUUGGUAUGAGUAGCGAAAAGAAAGGUGAGAAUCCUUUCCACCGAAAGCAUAAGGAUUCCUGAGCAACGAUCGUCGUCUCAGGGUAAGUCGGGACCUAAUCCGAGGCAAAGAGCGUAGGAGAUGGACAACAGGUUGAUAUUCCUGUACCGGCAGCAAUUGUUUGAGCGAAGGAGUGACACAGAAGGGCAGGCAGGCGCGAGACUGGAUUGUCGCGUGCAAGCGUGUAGGGUAGUGUACAGGCAAAUCCGUACACUGAGAGCCUGAGGCGUUACGCGGAGCGAGCAGAGAUGCGAGCGAAGCUGCUGAUCCCACACUGUCGAGAAAAGCUUCUAGUGAGAGAGCUGCCGCCCGUACCGUAAACCGACACAGGUAUGCGGGGAGAGAAUCCUAAGGUGCGCGGGAGAACCCUCGUUAAGGAACUCGGCAAAAUGUACCCGUAACUUCGGGAUAAGGGUAGCCGUCUUGGUGAAGGAGCUUGCCUCUGGAGCUAAAGGCGGUCGCAGAGAAGAGGCCCAAGCGACUGUUUACCACAAACACAGGUGCCUGCUAAAGCGAAAGCUGACGUAUAGGUGCUGACACCUGCCCAGUGCUGGAAGGUUAAGGAAGGAUGUCCGGGCAACCAAAGCAUUCGACCGAAGCCCCAGUGAACGGCGGCCGUAACUAUAACGGUCCUAAGGUAGCGAAAUUCCUUGUCGGGUAAGUUCCGACCCGCACGAAAGGUGUAACGAUUUGGGCACUGUCUCAACGAGGGACCCGGUGAAAUUGAAAUACCUGUGAAGAUGCAGGUUACCCGCGACUGGACAGAAAGACCCCAUGGAGCUUUACUGUAACCUGACAUUGGGUUUUGUUGUAUUACGUACAGGAUAGGUGGGAGGCUUAGAAGGCUGGACGCUAGUCUGGCUGGAGCCGGCGUUGGGAUACCACCCUUGAUACAACGGAAUUCUAACCGAGAGAGUAACGAAAUCCGGGACAGUGUCAGGCGGGCAGUUUGACUGGGGCGGUCGCCUC
RNAcentral lists this ribosomal RNA (2259 nucleotides) under human gut metagenome. RNAcentral's name for it is "bacterial LSU rRNA". It matches the Rfam family "Bacterial large subunit ribosomal RNA", at positions 14 to 2289 of the family's 2925-position model. The record is from RNAcentral.